RNAcentral lists this ribosomal RNA (497 nucleotides) under uncultured bacterium. RNAcentral describes it as "partial 16S ribosomal RNA". It matches the Rfam family "Bacterial small subunit ribosomal RNA", at positions 28 to 507 of the family's 1533-position model. The record is from RNAcentral.
GAUGAACGCUGGCGGCGUGCCUAAUUCAUGCAAGUCGAGCGAACAGACGAGGAGCUUGCUCCUCUGACGUUAGCGGCGGACGGGUGAGUAACACGUGGAUAACCUACCUAUAAGACUGGGAUAACUUCGGGAAACCGGAGCUAAUACCGGAUAAUAUAUUGAACCGCAUGGUUCAAUAGUGAAAGACGGUUUUGCUGUCACUUAUAGAUGGAUCCGCGCCGCAUUAGCUAGUUGGUAAGGUAACGGCUUACCAAGGCAACGAUGCGUAGCCGACCUGAGAGGGUGAUCGGCCACCCUGGAACUGAGACACGGUCCAGACUCCUACGGGAGGCAGCAGUAGGGAAUCUUCCGCAAAGGGCGAAAGCCUGACGGAGCAACGCCGCGUGAGUGAUGAAGGUCUUCGGAUCGUAAAACUCUGUUAUUAGGGAAGAACAAAUGUGUAAGUAACUAUGCACGUCUUGACGGUACCUAAUCAGAAAGCCACGGCUAACUACGUG